Molecule: ribosomal RNA, 508 nt
Filed under: uncultured bacterium
Lineage: Bacteria
Description: partial 16S ribosomal RNA
Rfam family: Bacterial small subunit ribosomal RNA
Source: RNAcentral
GAUGAACGCUAGCUACAGGCUUAACACAUGCAAGUCGAGGGGAAACGAUAGAGAAAGCUUGCUUUUUCUAGGCGUCGACCGGCGCACGGGUGAGUAACGCGUAUCCAACCUGCCCAUCACUUGGGGAUAACCUUGCGAAAGUAAGACUAAUACCCAAUGACGUCCAUAGAAGACAUCUGAAAGGGAUUAAAGAUUUCUCGGUGAUGGAUGGGGAUGCGUCUGAUUAGCUUGUUGGCGGGGUAACGGCCCACCAAGGCGACGAUCAGUAGGGGUUCUUGGAGGACGGUCCCCCACAUUGGAACUGAGACACGGUCCAACCUCCUACGGGAGGCAGCAGUGAGGAAUAUUGGGCAAUGGGCGAGAGCCUGAACCAGCCAAGUAGCGUGCAGGAUGACGGCCCUAUGGGUUGUAAAUUGCUUUUAUAAGGGAAUAAAGUGAGCCUCGUGAGGCUUUUUGCAUGUACCUUAUGAAUAAGGACCGGCUAAUUCCGUGCCAGCAGCCGCGGUAA